This 3224-nucleotide long non-coding RNA is filed under the name Carica papaya (papaya). RNAcentral describes it as "long non-coding RNA (CPAP_LNC009234)". The record is from RNAcentral. Lineage: Eukaryota; Viridiplantae; Streptophyta; Magnoliopsida; Brassicales; Caricaceae.
UCAAAACGAAAAUCGUCUUUGAUUCCCAAACUAUCUUCUUUAUAUAUUUACCACAAAUGAUGCAUUUAAAAUAUAACUAAUUAAAUGUGGUUCACAUAUAAUUUCACAAAGAAUUAAAAAAUAAAUCAAAACAAAAAUAUAAUUAUCUUCAUAUGGACAAAAGAAAAAGCUAAGGGAAAAUUAAAAUUAAUUUUUUUAAAAAAAAUAGAAAAUGUUACAUAUAUAUCUUCCAUAAUAUUUCCUAUAUGAUAUUCUCUCCUCAAUCAGCUUAAAAAGUUGUGUUUAGAAAUUCUAGCCGCAAGCGAUGGUAGGUGUUAGCUGCAUUCACGAAUCUGAUUUUUCAAUUCUGGGCAUCACCAGCUAUGUCCACACUGCAACAUAUCCUUGCCCUAUUUAUAAACAAAAUGACGAGGGAGACGAUGACGACGACGACGACGACGGAAAUGACGUGGCUCCAGCAGCCUAACUCAUGAUGUAAGGGAGAGGAUGCUGAUGAUAGAUGAUGAUUAUUUGCCAUCAUUGGUGAGUAUUCAUAAAUAUAUAUAUCUUACGUCUUUUGUCUUGGACUUAAAAGUUCUUUCUCAGCAAAGAACAUGACAUAAACUUGACGUUGUAAUGUUCUUAUAUAUACAUAUAUAUGCAGUACUAAUACUACACCCUUAUUGUUAGUAAUUUCUACGUUAUAUCAGUGUAUGUGUACAUAUGUAAGCAUUGUAUUUCAAGCUCUGGUUUUUUUUUUUUUUUUGGCCGAGAAAAGGCUCUAGCUAGCGCUACUACCACCUAAACCACACAGUAUUACUGAAUCAAAUAAACCAACAUUAUGAAAAUUAAUUGCUCCUGUUAAGUCGCCGAUAAUUAAGAUCGAGGAAUCCUCUCUAACAUAUUCUUGUCAUGAAAUUGAUCAAAUGGACUUGGAGGUAAAAACUUAGUUAACCAUAGUUGAUUAGGACAUGGUAAUGUAUGAUCAAUUAUAAUUCAUUAACAAUAAACACCAUAAUUAGUUGAGUCAAAGUAUAGUAUUGAAAUAUACCAAUUAGUAAAUAACACUCACCAUUAGAAUACGAGUAGUAGUUAAAUUGUCAUAUUAACCUUUUUUUAGAAGAUAUGUAACUUCCUUAUGUUAAAAAUAGCAAAUUGUUAGUAAGUGAUGUAUUUCAAUACUUAAGAAGUAACUAAGAAAUUCUUUUGCAUUGUAGAUAAAGACUAAAAUCUUAUAUGAUCAUUGCUUUAGCUCAAAUAUCAUAUGCAUAUAUAAGAAAAGAAGUUGUGUUAUUGGAGCCAAUAUAAAAUAGAUAAGUAUUAACAUUGGAUGAAAGUCACUAGAGCAAAUAUAAAAGAAAGAAGUGAGGAAGAAGGCCGGCUUCUUGAAUAAGAGAUACAUUCUAAAUAUAACAAGUUGAAAUUUUAAUGGAUUAAUUCAUAUACCAAGAAUAUAAUCUAUGUAGAUAAUAAUAAAGAACUUCAUAUCAUCAGAGUGAAGAUAAAAUAAAAAAAUAUUUUGGAUGGUUGAAGAUCAUGAUCCUACAAAAAAAGAUAUUCAUACUAGUAAAUUAUGUUCUAAGAAUAUAUUUAGGCUAUAUAAUGAUAGUGUAGGGUGCAAAGAUGAUUUAGAUAUUAUAUAUAAAAAAAUUUAUAAAUUAAAAUAUAAAAAUCUAUUCAUCAAGAUUACUAUAAAAAAUCAUUAGAGAAAUCAAGGUGUUUCAAACCCUAAUUAUAAGUAAUGAUAACAAUAUAAAAUAUUUGAAUAACAAUAAGUUUAAUGGUAGGACUACAAGUUUCAAAAUAAUCAACUUAUAUUCAUAUUCUUUGACGAUCAACUGAAAUUUUCUCUAUUUAAUGUGAUAUACUAAUUUAUUAAUAAUUAUAUCUUUACCAAAUUUCAUAUUUUGGCAGCCAUGAGAGCUUGUAUCUCUUUAACCAUGGAUCAAACUAGAUCUUAUUUUUAUUAGUAAGGAAGAUAAAAGUUAGUUUACUAUCCAAAAUGAAAUUUAUUUUUAUUAACAACAACAGUUCUCACUAGUUAUAUGUAUACGAAAAUUUCAUAUUUUGUUGGCCAUGAGUGUUUGUAUCUCUUUAACCAUGCAUUAUACUAAAUCUUACUUCUAUUAACGAGAAAGAAAAAAGUUAGUUUAUUAUAAAAAAUGAAGCUUAUUUUUAUUAACAACAUUACGUUCAAUUAGUUAUAUGCAUCUCAGUAGCUAUUGUUUGUUCUCUUACUUUCAAGAUUUAUUUCCUAAACAAUGUAGCUGAAUGUUUAAUGUAUACUCUAGAUGCACACAUCAAAUAUAGAGGCUUCUAAAGACAUUCUUAAUGCAUUUACGACUUAUAUUUCUCUAACCAUAGAUGUUGCUCAUUUCUGUAAGUACUAAUAUACCUAGUAAGUAGGAAAGAACAAGAUCAAACCGAAAUCGAUUAAAUCAUUCAAAUCAAAUUGAAAAACAAAAAUAAUGAAUUGAGCACUUUAACUAAUUCAAUCGGUUAAUAAUUGAAUACCCUGUUCUUAAAUACUUCGAUCUAGAUUCCUACACACUUAUUAAAAAUUAAUUUAAUUUUUAAGUAAUAAGUAUACUAUAUAUAAAAAUAUAAAUAUAUUGUUACAUAUUACAUAUAAUAUAACUACAAGGACUGUGCAUCCAGCAAUACCCAAUCCAUAAAUGUUAAUACAUCAUUAUAUAUAUAUAUAUGUUUAUAUGUAUAAAUUAAUAAAUCAAAUAAAUUUGCAAUCAAGUUUCAACAAAAAUCAUAGCACAAUUUCAGUUUCAACUUUCUUCUUUCUUGUACGUGGCGUGCUCUACAGUUUUCCAUCUUCUCCUUCUUUGAGUCUUCCACCUUCUUCGGUUCUUAUGUUCUUCCACCUUUUGCCAUUGACGCAAUCAAGACACAGCUAGCAACCACCAGAAAAGUAAGCACUCUCGCCGUAGAGAUAUAAUUUAUAAUUCAGAAUCAGAGAAAUAUAUGUAGUAUUAUUUUGUUAUUUAACUUACUAGUAUAUAAAAUUUAAUCUUAUAAGUGUGAGAGGGAAAAAAAAAAAAUCAAAUUAACCACACAUUUACAGACGGUUAAUUUGAUUUUUUAUUUUUAUUUUUUAAUCCGAAUUGACCAAAAUCAACUAUGCUCUUUUCUAUUUGUAAGCCAAUUGCAUGAGAUGUACCGAUAAUAUUAUUGUAAUAAUUUCAUUUGAAAUAUAUUAUGUUAAAGAAUUAAAUUAUUAAUAAAACAUAAAU